CAUCUUGUAGCAAUACACAAUUUGCAAGGUGCUGCAUGGCUGUCGUCAGCUCGUGCCGUGAGGUGUUGGGUUAAGUCCCGCAACGAGCGCAACCCCCAUCACUAGUUGCCAUCAGGUAACGCUGGGAACUCUAGUGAAACUGCCGUCGUAAGACGUGAGGAAGGAGGGGAUGAUGUCAAGUCAUCAUGGCCUUUAUGCCCAGGGCUACACACGUGCUACAAUGGGGCGUACAAAGGGCUGCAACAUAGCGAUAUGAAGCUAAUCCCAAAAAACGCCUCUCAGUUCAGAUUGGAGUCUGCAACUCGACUCCAUGAAGCUGGAAUCGCUAGUAAUCGUAUAUCAGCAAUGAUACGGUGAAUACGUUCCCGGACCUUGCACACACCGCCCGUCAAGCCAUGGAAGCUGGGUGUACCUAAAGUCGGUAACCGUAAGGAGCCGCCUAGGGUAAAACUAGUGACUGGGGCUAAGUCGUAACAAGGUAAC
RNAcentral lists this ribosomal RNA (483 nucleotides) under uncultured Bacteroidota bacterium. RNAcentral's name for it is "bacterial SSU rRNA". It matches the Rfam family "Bacterial small subunit ribosomal RNA", at positions 1010 to 1500 of the family's 1533-position model. The record is from RNAcentral. Lineage: Bacteria; Pseudomonadati; Bacteroidota.